Molecule: ribosomal RNA, 427 nt
Filed under: uncultured bacterium
Lineage: Bacteria
Description: bacterial SSU rRNA
Rfam family: Bacterial small subunit ribosomal RNA
Source: RNAcentral
UGGGGAAUUUUGGACAAUGGGCGCAAGCCUGAUCCAGCCAUGCCGCGUGCAGGAUGAAGGCCUUCGGGUUGUAAACUGCUUUUGUACGGAACGAAAAGACUCCUUCUAAUAAAGGUCGUCCAUGACGCUACCGUAAGAAUAAGCACCGGCUAACUACGUGCCAGCAGCCGCGGUAAUACGUAGGGUCCGAGCGUUAAUCGGAAUGACUGGGCGUAAAGGGUGCGCAGGCGGUUAUAUAAGACCGGUGUGAAAUCCCCGGGCUCAACCUGGGAACUGCGUUUGUGACUGUCGAGCUAGAGUACGGCAGAGGGGGAUGGAAUUCCGAGUGUAGCGGUGAAAUGCGUAGAUAUGCGGAGGAACACCGGUGGCGAAGGCGGUCCCCUGGACCUGUACUGACGCUGAAGCACGAAAGCGAGGGGAGCAAACA